CCUACGGGUGGCAGCAGUGGGGAAUAUUGGGCAAUGGGCGCAAGCCUGACGCAGCAACGCCGCGUGAAGGAAGAAGGCUUUCGGUUUGUAAACUUCUUUUGUCAGGGAAGAGUAGAAGACGGUACCUGACGAAUAAGCCACGGCUAACUACGUGCCAGCAGCAGCGGUAAUACGUAGGUGGCAAGGGUUAUCCGGAUUUACUGGGUGUAAAGGGCGUGUGGACGGGUUACCAAGUCAGAUGUGAAAUCCUGCGGCUUAACCGCAGAACUGCAUUUGAAACUGUUGAUCUUGAGUACUGGAGAGGCAGAUGGAAUUCCUAGUGUAGCGGUGAAAUGCGUAGAUAUUAGGAGGAACACCAGUGGCGAAGGCGGUCUUCUGGACAGCAACUGACGGUGAGGCGCGAAAGCGUGGGGAGCAAACAGGAUUAGAUACCCGAGUAGUC
RNAcentral lists this ribosomal RNA (442 nucleotides) under uncultured bacterium. Its description in RNAcentral is "partial 16S ribosomal RNA". It matches the Rfam family "Bacterial small subunit ribosomal RNA", at positions 338 to 795 of the family's 1533-position model. The record is from RNAcentral.